This 313-nucleotide unclassified non-coding RNA is filed under the name Zea mays. Its description in RNAcentral is "misc RNA Zm00001eb164520". Lineage: Eukaryota; Viridiplantae; Streptophyta; Magnoliopsida; Poales; Poaceae. The record is from RNAcentral.
GCCGGUUGUCGGUGGCCACAGCCUGUGCGCAGUGGACGAGCAAGGUGCUCAGCUCCACCGCCUCGUCGGCGCUCGACCUCCUUCCCUGUUUGCCCUUCCUGCUGUUCUUCUUAGCCUCGCCGCUGCCCAUACUGAUCCGCAGGGCCUUCAUUUCUCUGAGGCACAUUUCGAGUCCGUUGAAGAUCAUUUGAUCGACCAUCUCGUCAGUUUCCUCGGGCUCGGGAACCAUCAGCUUGCUCUUCCUGAACGUCUCAGCCUCCAAGUCAUCCCAACCGAGCCUGUCCCUGUCCUUGCGGCCCCUGCCAUUAAUGCC